This is a long non-coding RNA of Chenopodium quinoa (quinoa), 1825 nucleotides long. RefSeq lists it as uncharacterized. The record is from RefSeq and is a predicted model, not a curated record. The transcript is spliced from 4 exons. NCBI's taxonomy places the organism in Eukaryota, Viridiplantae, Streptophyta, Magnoliopsida, Caryophyllales, Amaranthaceae.
AGUUGGCGUAAUAAUGCCCACUGCUAAUAAUAAUUAUUUAAAAAAAUAAAAUAUUUAUUUGUAAUCGAGCUGCUAAGAUAAUAGGGAAUGAAGUUCUAAAUUUGACCCACCCGUUUCUCUCUCCUCAUAACCGCGCUUCUCUAUCAUCUAAAAAAUUAGAAACCCUACAAUCUCUCUCAUCAGCCCUUACAUCCAAUGUCCCUGAACGUCACUCACCUCACCUCCAUUAUACCGUCCUCUCCUCCAUUGCUAGAAGAUUUUAGUUAAAAGCUACUCCUUUUUCAACUUUGCCUCCACUAGAGUAAACCCUAACCCCUGAAAAACCAAGAUAAACUCCUAAAUUUGAGUACAAACCCUAACUUUCAAAUAGUCGAAACAGUUACUACUAAUUUGAACGAAAAUCCAACAUCCUUUCUUAGUUCUUUUGAAUUUUCAGUUGUUAUUUCCUUAAAUUUAGGGUAUUUUUGCCCAAUUUUCUGCGGUUUUUGUAGUUCGAAUUUUAUUGGGGUUUUUGGUCAAUUUUUUGCUCGAAAAUAAGGGGCUUUGGCUCGAAUUUGCUCGAAUAUAGGGGGGUUUUGCCGCACAUUUCCUGGGUUUUUCGAUUAGUGGUCGAACUUGUAGGCUUUGGGGUCGAAUUUCUCAAGGUAUUGCUGUUGAAAUCGCUGGUGUUUUGGGGUCGAACGGCAGCAGGGUAGCGCUGGGGAUUUUUGGGGCUUUGCUGGUUGAAUUUUUGAGGUAUUGCGAUUGAAUUUGCCAUCCCUUUCUAGAAGCUCGCUAUAGAUGUCCUCCAUGUGACAAAGUCCAGGUUAUGUCGUGGUAUAUCGAUUCGAUAAUGUUGCUUGGGAGCUCGGUAUUUAGGUGUGUGAUAAUCGUUCAACUCACAAUUGCUGGACUUAUAAGUAAAAUGCGUUUAGAGUUGAGCCAAAGCCAAGGAGUGGGCCCUUUUGAUUGGAUCACCAAAUUGUAGAGUUGGAGCAUGUGCAAAUGUGGAACCCAAGCUCCAUCAUCUCAGCCUCACUCCACCUUCAACGUUAAAAAAGAAGGGAGCUUGUUGAGGUCUCAACCAUCUAGUAUUGACUCAGUGUGGUUGGCACUUUGAUAGGUCAUUACUGCCAUCAUGUGUUGGCGGGUAUUUGCUGGUAUUUGUACUAUAAAAGCUUGGUGGUAUUUGUAUAGUAUAAUCUUGAUGAAAUUGAGAAACUUGCAUUGAUAGUUUCAGAGGUUAGUUUUUACUUAUUAGAAUGUGGGCAUAAUAUGUGAUCUGUAUUGUUUGGUACAACAGAUUUGGAUCAAUGUGGACUGUUUUCUAGAAAUUCUUUUUAUGGUCUAAUAUGAUGUGUCCAAUUGUCAUAUUUCUAUAUUUACCUUAUUAAUUAACUUUUUGUUCAUGGAAUGAGGGAUUGCUGAUAAACUGUCGCUGGAUCUUGUACCUGUUUGCAGGUUUGGCAUAUUAGAACCACUCAGAAUUUGUGACGCCUUGAACGUGUUCAUUCUAUGAGAGUUAAAAGUCUUUGUUUUUCUCGAGAUGGAAGUCAGAUAUUAAGUACAUCUAUUGACAGCACUGCCAGGUUUGGAUCUCAUGCUUGACUUACGGCAUUUGAUUCAAUUGGCUAAUAUCAUAGGAUUCAUGGUUUGAAGUCUGGGAAAUUGUUGAAGGAAUUUCGUUGGCAUACUUCUAAUGUGAAUCAUGCCAUAUUUACAAAUGACUGUAGCCGUGUGAUCAGAGCAUCUCUAGAUCUUUCAACCAGUCAAUUUUUUUUUAAUUUUUUUUUUUUGUAUAUUUUUUAAUUUGUAAUGAAUUGUAUACUUCAUUCUUUUUUUUUUU